RNAcentral lists this ribosomal RNA (629 nucleotides) under Salmonella enterica subsp. enterica serovar Enteritidis. Its description in RNAcentral is "partial 23S ribosomal RNA". It matches the Rfam family "Bacterial large subunit ribosomal RNA", at positions 1 to 594 of the family's 2925-position model. Lineage: Bacteria; Pseudomonadati; Pseudomonadota; Gammaproteobacteria; Enterobacterales; Enterobacteriaceae. The record is from RNAcentral.
GGGUUGUGAGGUUAAGCGACUAAGCGUACACGGUGGAUGCCCUGGCAGUCAGAGGCGAUGAAGGGCGUACUAAUCUGCGAUAAGCGCCGGUAAGGUGAUAUGAACCGUUAUAACCGGCGAUACCCGAAUGGGGAAACCCAGUGUGAUUCGUCACACUAUCAUUAACUGAAUCCAUAGGUUAAUGAGGCGAACCGGGGGAACUGAAACAUCUAAGUACCCCGAGGAAAAGAAAUCAACCGAGAUUCCCCCAGUAGCGGCGAGCGAACGGGGAGGAGCCCAGAGCCUGAAUCAGCAUGUGUGUUAGUGGAAGCGUCUGGAAAGGCGCGCGAUACAGGGUGACAGCCCCGUACACAAAAGCGCAUGUGCUGUGAGCUCGAUGAGUAGGGCGGGACACGUGGUAUCCUGUCUGAAUAUGGGGGGACCAUCCUCCAAGGCUAAAUACUCCUGACUGACCGAUAGUGAACCAGUACCGUGAGGGAAAGGCGAAAAGAACCCCGGCGAGGGGAGUGAAAAAGAACCUGAAACCGUGUACGUACAAGCAGUGGGAGCCCCACCACCAAAGCAUUUGCUGUACCGCGUUGACGGAGCGAAGCGACGUCAAACCGAUAAAACAGCAGUGUAAAGUGAGC